UACGAAGGGGGCUAGCGUUGCUCGGAAUCACUGGGCGUAAAGGGUGCGUAGGCGGGUCUUUAAGUCAGGGGUGAAAUCUUCGGGCUCAACUCGAAGCCUGCACGAGAUACUGCCGGGCUUGAGUGUGGGAGAGGUGAGUGGAAUUUCCGGUGUAGCGAUGAAAUGCGUAGAUAUCGGAAGGAACACCUGUGGCGAAAGCGGCUCACUGGACCACAACUGACGCUGAGGCACGAAAGCUAGGGGAGCAAACAGG
Molecule: ribosomal RNA, 253 nt
Filed under: uncultured bacterium
Lineage: Bacteria
Description: partial 16S ribosomal RNA
Rfam family: Bacterial small subunit ribosomal RNA
Source: RNAcentral